GACGUAGGGCGCGAGCGUUGUCCGGAUUUAUUGGGCGUAAAGAGCUCGUAGGCGGCUUGUCGCGUCGAAUGUGAAAACCCACGGCUCAACUGUGGGCUUGCAUUCGAUACGGGCAGGCUAGAGUUCGGUAGGGGAGACUGGAAUUCCUGGUGGAGUGGUGAAAUGCGUAGAGAUCCGGAGGAACACCAAAGGCGAAGGCAGUGUCCUGGGGAGUACCUGACGCUCAGGUGCGAAAGCCAGGGGAGCGAACGGG
RNAcentral lists this ribosomal RNA (253 nucleotides) under uncultured bacterium. Its description in RNAcentral is "partial 16S ribosomal RNA". It matches the Rfam family "Bacterial small subunit ribosomal RNA", at positions 524 to 776 of the family's 1533-position model. The record is from RNAcentral.